This 583-nucleotide ribosomal RNA is filed under the name uncultured bacterium. RNAcentral's name for it is "bacterial SSU rRNA". It matches the Rfam family "Bacterial small subunit ribosomal RNA", at positions 270 to 863 of the family's 1533-position model. The record is from RNAcentral.
AAGGCGACGACGGGUAGCCGGCCUGAGAGGGCGACCGGCCACACUGGGACUGAGACACGGCCCAGACUCCUACGGGAGGCAGCAGUGGGGAAUAUUGCACAAUGGGCGCAAGCCUGAUGCAGCGACGCCGCGUGAGGGAUGACGGCCUUCAGGUUGUAAACCUCUUUCACCAGGGACGAAGAGAAAUUGACGGUACCUGGAGAAGAAGCACCGGCCAACUACGUGCCAGCAGCCGCGGUAAUACGUAGGGUGCGAGCGUUGUCCGGAAUUACUGGGCGUAAAGAGCUCGUAGGCGGUUUGUCGCGUCGUUCGUGAAAUCUUGAUGCUUAACAUCAAGCGUGCGGGCGAUACGGGCAGACUUGAGUACUACAGGGGAGACUGGAAUUCCUGGUGUAGCGGUGAAAUGCGCAGAUAUCAGGAGGAACACCGGUGGCGAAGGCGGGUCUCUGGGUAGUAACUGACGCUGAGGAGCGAAAGCGUGGGUAGCGAACAGGAUUAGAUACCCUGGUAGUCCACGCCGUAAACGGUGGGUACUAGGUGUGGGUCCCUUUUCACGGGAUCCGUGCCGUAGCUAACGCAUUAA